This 515-nucleotide ribosomal RNA is filed under the name uncultured bacterium. RNAcentral describes it as "partial 16S ribosomal RNA". It matches the Rfam family "Bacterial small subunit ribosomal RNA", at positions 28 to 523 of the family's 1533-position model. The record is from RNAcentral.
GAUGAACGCUGGCGGCGUGCCUAAUACAUGCAAGUCGAGCGAAUGGAUUAAGAGCUUGCUCUUAUGAAGUUAGCGGCGGACGGGUGAGUAACACGUGGGUAACCUGCCCAUAAGACUGGGAUAACGCAGGGAAACCGGGGCUAAUACCGGAUAAAAUUUUGAAACGCAUGGUUAGAAAUUGAAAGGCGGCUUAGGCUGUAAGUGAUGGAUGGCCACGCGUCGCAUUAGCUAGUUGGUCAGGUAACGGCUCACAAAGGCAACGAUGCGUAGCCGACCUGAGAGGGUGAUCGGCCACACUGGGACUGAGACACGGCCCAGACUCCUACGGGAGGCAGCAGUAGGGAAUCUUCCGCAAUGGACGAAAGUCUGACGGAGCAACGCCGCGUGAGUGAUGAAGGCUUUCGGGUCGUAAAACUCUGUUGUUAGGGAAGAACAAGUGCUAGUUGAAUAAGCUGGCACCUUGACGGUACCUAACCAGAAAGCCACGGCUAACUACGUGCCAGCCGCCGCAGUAA